Long non-coding RNA from Anguilla rostrata (American eel), 1182 nucleotides. RefSeq lists it as uncharacterized. The transcript has 2 exons. The record is from RefSeq and is a predicted model, not a curated record. NCBI's taxonomy places the organism in Eukaryota, Metazoa, Chordata, Actinopteri, Anguilliformes, Anguillidae.
AUUGUUCUGCUCAGUUCAUUAAACACCCAACAGCUGUAAAAGUGUUCUUACUCAGCUGGGGCGCCUCUGAAUCUAGUGGGUGCUAACAACCGCGGCUCCUUUUCUCAUUAAGAAGUGAUUCUUCCGCUUUGCCAGGCGUGUCACCGUCAAUGGCUACUUUAUUACGGCAAUUACCGGACGGUCCGCUUUGCGUUGCCGCGGCAAAUCACCUCAACUCGAUGAAAUUACCGCGCCGCGCAAAGACCAAACUGCUUUCUGCCAUUUUAGCAAUAACUACAGCGUUAUUGAACGGUCUCUCCGACUCGCCGUUCUGGCUGAUAAGUGGGGCACAGAGGCGUUUGGAGUGCUGCACAGCGAUAUUCGGCACAGCACAGCAGUAUUUGGUGUGAGGUGUUUUUCCAGGUCCGAAAAUCUGGACUGGAAAUUGAAGUACUGGGAUUGAUGCAGUAGACCAGAGCACCAGCUGCUCAAUAUCAUUUUGCCAUGCCUGAACCUAGCUCUAUCACACACAUGCAUAGUUACACAGCCUUAUGCAUGGGCAAUAAAAUGUUGACUACUCCCAAAAAAAUUAUCAACAACUGGGAAAUUGCCAGCCCAUUCGCGAGUGCUGCAAUGUGAUCAUUGCAAGUUAAAUGAACUUCAUUUGGUAUCAAGCAUUUGAGAGUUUCAUUCAACGUGUACCUUACAUUAUCCGAGACAAAUACAGUUACGUUACUGAAAUCAACCCCAAAGACAGGCAUUUUUUGAUGGUAUCCACAACUGAGCAGUAAUUUACAACAUCAUGAUUUGCAGUGUCAACCUUAAAUUGGAUGCAAAUUUUCCCUGCAAGCAAAUGUGAAAAAUAUACCUCGGCCUUUCUUUGUGUCUGAUAUUCCAUCGAUUUCACAUUCAUUCCUCUAUCUGGUGUAUUAUCUAAUCGAAUUGCUUUUAUGAAAGUCACAAUUUGUCACUAAUUGUAUAAUCCAACGCCUACAGUGCCCCAUGAGGAUUUUGAUUGUAAUACGAGAUAAACUUGUGUCCCUAGUUAUAGGCUGUCAUAGCAGAGCAGAAUAUCUGGCGUUUGUGAUUUAGAAUCAUGAAGUAUACAGAUUAAAUCUGAUAAUUAAGUCUGAUAAUCUCUGUUAUAUUGCAAAAAUAAAACUUAUCAGUAUCUACAUGUAAUUCUUCUUAGUUAAUGUUUAA